RNAcentral lists this long non-coding RNA (206 nucleotides) under Carica papaya (papaya). RNAcentral's name for it is "long non-coding RNA (CPAP_LNC002723)". The record is from RNAcentral. Lineage: Eukaryota; Viridiplantae; Streptophyta; Magnoliopsida; Brassicales; Caricaceae.
UAGUUAGCACAUUGUUUCUUCUAGUGUCCCAGAGCUUUACAGAAGAAAUAAACAUUUUUGGUCUGAACCUUCUGUUGCUUCUUCUGUUGUACUGGAAUCACAACAGAUUUAUUUGUUUUCUUUUUCUUAUUCUUCUUGUCCUUUGAGAUAAUUAUGAAAUGAGCAAUCUUUGUGAGUUUCUACCACCUCGCGCGUCCUGGUUGGUC